This 138-nucleotide unclassified non-coding RNA is filed under the name Cloning vector pKJK5::csg[aacC1]. RNAcentral describes it as "sgRNA". The stretch from base 57 to 138 matches the Rfam family "Trans-activating crRNA". From Rfam's summary of the family: RNA-guided Streptococcus pyogenes Cas9 (SpCas9) is a sequence-specific DNA endonuclease, the Trans-activating CRISPR RNA form an hybrid with the crRNA (crRNA/tracrRNA). The record is from RNAcentral.
UUGACAGCUAGCUCAGUCCUAGGUAUAAUACUAGUAAGUUAGGUGGCUCAAGUAUGUUUUAGAGCUCGAAAGAGCAAGUUAAAAUAAGGCUAGUCCGUUAUCAACUUGAAAAAGUGGCACCGAGUCGGUGCUUUUUUU